GAAGAUAAUGAUGUUAUUUGUCGCCCCAGUUUUACACGCAUCUCUCGAUGCUUUCUGGUGAUGAAUCACAUCUGAUUC
This is a small nucleolar RNA of Macadamia integrifolia, 78 nucleotides long. RefSeq annotates it as small nucleolar RNA U31b. The transcript has a single exon. NCBI's taxonomy places the organism in Eukaryota, Viridiplantae, Streptophyta, Magnoliopsida, Proteales, Proteaceae. The record is from RefSeq and is a predicted model, not a curated record.